AAUAGAUACCCUGGUAGUCCACGCCGUAAACGAUGGAUACUAGCUGUUUGAGCGCAAGUUUGAGUGGCUAAGCGAAAGUGAUAAGUAUCCCACCUGGGGAGUACGGGCGCAAGCCUGAAACUCAAAGGAAUUGACGGGGGCCCGCACAAGCGGUGGAGCAUGUGGUUUAAUUCGAUGAUACGCGAGGAACCUUACCAGGGCUUAAAUGUAGAUUGACGUAUUUGGAAACAGAUAUUUCUUCGGACAAUUUACAAGGUGCUGCAUGGUUGUCGUCAGCUCGUGCCGUGAGGUGUCAGGUUAAGUCCUAUAACGAGCGCAACCCCUGUUGUUAGUUGCCAGCGAGUAAUGUCGGGAACUCUAGCAAGACUGCCAGUGUAAACUGUGAGGAAGGUGGGGAUGACGUCAAAUCAUCACGGCCCUUACGUCCUGGGCCACACACGUGCUACAAUGGCCGGUACAGAGAGCAGCCACUUAGCGAUAAGGAGCGUAUCUAUAAAGCCGGUCACAGUUCGGAUCGGAGU
RNAcentral lists this ribosomal RNA (521 nucleotides) under uncultured bacterium. Its description in RNAcentral is "bacterial SSU rRNA". It matches the Rfam family "Bacterial small subunit ribosomal RNA", at positions 777 to 1304 of the family's 1533-position model. The record is from RNAcentral.